Molecule: long non-coding RNA, 871 nt
Organism: Pseudophryne corroboree (corroboree frog)
Lineage: Eukaryota; Metazoa; Chordata; Amphibia; Anura; Myobatrachidae
Exons: 2
Source: RefSeq, a predicted model, not a curated record
UUUAAAUGUGAUGAAAUACCGCAGGGCCUCAGAGAGAACUAGGCACUCGGAGGCUGCUUUGAAUUUGCCACACAGCAUGGAUGAAAAUACCAGUCCCCCCAGGUCUUCUUCUUCUUGAAUGCAGCAUAAAAUGUGUCUGCCUCAGUGUUCUAUGCCGUGCACACUGCAAAGACGCAUACAACUCUGUGGAUAAAUCAAGCAAAAAAAAAAGUUUAAUGGUAUCAAUUAAACAAAUAGUAUAUCCAGACAAUUCAGGUUUUCCUAUAUCCCCCCCCCCCAAAAAAAAAAAACGGCAUCAAGGGUGAAUUUCUCAUAUGAUAGGUAUAAGCUGGGGUGGAUUUAGGAGUCAGGCCACCGUAGGCACAUUAUCCCCCCCCCCCCAUCAUGUCAAUGCCCCCUUCAUUUUGUGACCAGUCUGGCUGUCUCGAGACCACCAAAGCAGCCCCAACCUCAUCCCACUUCCACCUUCUGGACCACAAUUUACUGCCCAUUGUCCCUCUCCCAUCAGUUGCAAAAUAAAAUAUGAAAAAAGUAAGAAAGUCGUAAAAAAAGGAAUCACCUGACCUCAUCAGCCUGGUGUGCCGCCCCUCAGCAAGUGCCAUCCCUAGGCAUGUACCUCACAUGCCUAGUGGGAAAUUCACCACUGGGUAAAAGGCCACGUAGUAAAGGAGAAAAACUUUUUGGAACCUGACUUUAGAGAUAGCCAAAAAAAUGCACUGAUUUUGCAGCUGGAAAUUAGCGUUUACUCUAUGUUCACUUUUCAUAGUUUACAUUCAAGUUUGCGCCUCCUGUUCAAGCUACUGUAUGGUAUUUGUGAAUCAACAUUCUGCCAUUCCAUUAAAGGUUUGCCAUUAAUGUUCACCAACACAAA